AGGCGUCACAAGCGUCUCAAGGGUUCGAAUCCCUUACCUUCCGUAAAGGCGCUUAAAUUGGUUUUACCCAUUUUAA
Molecule: transfer RNA, 76 nt
Filed under: Staphylococcus aureus
Lineage: Bacteria; Bacillati; Bacillota; Bacilli; Caryophanales; Staphylococcaceae
Description: tRNA-Asp-GTC
Source: RNAcentral